RNAcentral lists this ribosomal RNA (952 nucleotides) under Klebsiella pneumoniae. RNAcentral describes it as "bacterial SSU rRNA". It matches the Rfam family "Bacterial small subunit ribosomal RNA", at positions 192 to 1125 of the family's 1533-position model. Lineage: Bacteria; Pseudomonadati; Pseudomonadota; Gammaproteobacteria; Enterobacterales; Enterobacteriaceae. The record is from RNAcentral.
GUCGCAAGACCAAAGUGGGGGACCUUCGGGCCUCAUGCCAUCAGAUGUGCCCAGAUGGGAUUAGCUAGUAGGUGGGGUAACGGCUCACCUAGGCGACGAUCCCUAGCUGGUCUGAGAGGAUGACCAGCCACACUGGAACUGAGACACGGUCCAGACUCCUACGGGAGGCAGCAGUGGGGAAUAUUGCACAAUGGGCGCAAGCCUGAUGCAGCCAUGCCGCGUGUGUGAAGAAGGCCUUCGGGUUGUAAAGCACUUUCAGCGGGGAGGAAGGCGUUAAGGUUAAUAACCUUGUCGAUUGACGUUACCCGCAGAAGAAGCACCGGCUAACUCCGUGCCAGCAGCCGCGGUAAUACGGAGGGUGCAAGCGUUAAUCGGAAUUACUGGGCGUAAAGCGCACGCAGGCGGUCUGUCAAGUCGGAUGUGAAAUCCCCGGGCUCAACCUGGGAACUGCAUUCGAAACUGGCAGGCUAGAGUCUUGUAGAGGGGGGUAGAAUUCCAGGUGUAGCGGUGAAAUGCGUAGAGAUCUGGAGGAAUACCGGUGGCGAAGGCGGCCCCCUGGACAAAGACUGACGCUCAGGUGCGAAAGCGUGGGGAGCAAACAGGAUUAGAUACCCUGGUAGUCCACGCCGUAAACGAUGUCGAUUUGGAGGUUGUGCCCUUGAGGCGUGGCUUCCGGAGCUAACGCGUUAAAUCGACCGCCUGGGGAGUACGGCCGCAAGGUUAAAACUCAAAUGAAUUGACGGGGGCCCGCACAAGCGGUGGAGCAUGUGGUUUAAUUCGAUGCAACGCGAAGAACCUUACCUGGUCUUGACAUCCACAGAACUUUCCAGAGAUGGAUUGGUGCCUUCGGGAACUGUGAGACAGGUGCUGCAUGGCUGUCGUCAGCUCGUGUUGUGAAAUGUUGGGUUAAGUCCCGCAACGAGCGCAACCCUUAUCCUUUGUUGCCAGCGGU